GCCAGACUCCUACGGGAGGCAGCAGUGGGGAAUAUUGGGCAAUGGGGGAAACCCUGACCCAGCGACGCCGCGUGAGGGAAGAAGGUUUUCGGAUUGUAAACCUCUGUCCUUGGUGACGAUAAUGACGGUAGCCAAGGAGGAAGCCACGGCUAACUACGUGCCAGCAGCCGCGGUAAUACGCAGGUGGCGAGCGUUGUCCGGAAUUACUGGGUGUAAGGGGGGCGUAGGCGGGAGAGCAAGUCGACUGUGAAAUCUGUGGGCUUACCCCAUAGCUGCGUUCGAAACUGUUCAUCUUGAGUGAGGUAGAGGCGGGCGGAAUUCCUGGUGUAGCGGUAAAAUGCGUAAAUAUUAGGAGGAACACCGGUGGCGAGGGCGGCCUGCUGGACGGAUACUGACGCUGAGGCCCGAAAGCGUGGGGAGCGAACAGGAUUAGAUACCCGUGUA
This 444-nucleotide ribosomal RNA is filed under the name uncultured bacterium. Its description in RNAcentral is "bacterial SSU rRNA". It matches the Rfam family "Bacterial small subunit ribosomal RNA", at positions 330 to 792 of the family's 1533-position model. The record is from RNAcentral.